GCCUAUGGCCAUACUAGUCUGAAAAUGCCUGAUCCUAUCUGCUCUCAGAAGCUAAGCAGACUUAGACCUGGUUAGUACUUGGAUGGGAGACUGUCUGGGAAUACCAGGUGCAGUAGGCU
Molecule: non-coding RNA, 119 nt
Organism: Chiloscyllium plagiosum (whitespotted bambooshark)
Lineage: Eukaryota; Metazoa; Chordata; Chondrichthyes; Orectolobiformes; Hemiscylliidae
Source: RefSeq, a predicted model, not a curated record